AUUUAGAUAAAAAGUGUAGUCACCAAUUCAGCAUAGGAUACAAAUAACAAAAGGUUGUCCUGGACAACCUUUUGUUAUUUGUAUCCUAUGCUGAAUUGGUGACUACACUUUUUAUCUAAAUA
Molecule: non-coding RNA, 122 nt
Organism: Pelobates cultripes (western spadefoot toad)
Lineage: Eukaryota; Metazoa; Chordata; Amphibia; Anura; Pelobatidae
Source: the annotation of a GenBank genome assembly